This 433-nucleotide ribosomal RNA is filed under the name uncultured bacterium. RNAcentral's name for it is "partial 16S ribosomal RNA". It matches the Rfam family "Bacterial small subunit ribosomal RNA", at positions 29 to 507 of the family's 1533-position model. The record is from RNAcentral.
AACGAACGCUGGCGGCAUGCCUAACACAUGCAAGUCGAACGAGACCUUCGGGUCUAGUGGCGCACGGGUUCGUAACGCGUGGGAACCUGCCCUUAGGUUCGGAAUAACUCCCCGAAAGGGGUGCUAAUACCGGAUAAUGUCUUCGGACCAAAGAUUUAUUGCCUUUGGAUGGACCCGCGUGGGAUUAGCUAGUUGGUAGGGUAAAAGCCUACCAAGGCGACGAUCCAUAGCUGGUCUGAGAGGAUGAUCAGCCACACUGGGACUGAGACACGGCCCAGACUCCUACGGGAGGCAGCAGUGGGGAAUAUUGGACAGUGGGCGAAAGCCUGAUCCAGCAAUGCCGCGUGAGUGAUGAAGGCCUUAGGGUUGUAAAGCUCUUUUAACCGGGAUGAUAAUGACAGUACCGGGAGAAUAAGCCCCGGCUAACUCCGUG